RNAcentral lists this ribosomal RNA (510 nucleotides) under uncultured bacterium. RNAcentral's name for it is "bacterial SSU rRNA". It matches the Rfam family "Bacterial small subunit ribosomal RNA", at positions 17 to 518 of the family's 1533-position model. The record is from RNAcentral.
AUCUGGCUCAGGAUGAACGCUAGCUACAGGCUUAACACAUGCAAGUCGUGGGGCAGCAUGGAGGUUGCUGCAACUCUGAUGGCGACCGGCGCACGGGUGAGUAACGCGUAUCCAACCUGGCCCUUAGUAGGGGAUAGCCCGGCGAAAGUCGGAUUAAUACCCUAUGUUCUUCUUUGACGGCAUCUGACGAGAAGCAAAGAUUCAUCGCUAAGGGAUGGGGAUGCGUCUGAUUAGGUAGUAGGCGGGGUAACGGCCCACCUAGCCGACGAUCAGUAGGGGUUCUGAGAGGAAGGUCCCCCACAUUGGUACUGAGACACGGACCAAACUCCUACGGGAGGCAGCAGUGAGGAAUAUUGGUCAAUGGGCGAGAGCCUGAACCAGCCAAGUAGCGUGCAGGAUGACUGCCCUAUGGGUUGUAAACUGCUUUUAUGCGGGAAUAAAGUGCACUACGUGUAGUGUUUUGUAUGUACCGCAUGAAUAAGGACCGGCUAAUUCCGUGCCAGCCGCAGC